RNAcentral lists this ribosomal RNA (1092 nucleotides) under Triticum aestivum (bread wheat). RNAcentral's name for it is "partial small subunit ribosomal RNA". Lineage: Eukaryota; Viridiplantae; Streptophyta; Magnoliopsida; Poales; Poaceae. The record is from RNAcentral.
AUGGAGGCGCCAUGGGCUGGCCGGGACUCGGCGCCAUGGUCCGUUCGGCGCGUCGGCGGCGGCGCGAUGCUCGACGAGUCACGACGACUCGUCGUAACCCUGGAGGCGGAGGUCGCUGGCCUCUCCAUCCCACACCUUCGUGGCUUCCUCGCCGGCGCCUCCUCGGCCGUCCUCAUCGUCGACUUCUUCUGCAGCAUCGUGCUCGACGUCGCCGCGGAGCUCGGCGUCCCAGGGUACUAUUUCUUCACGUCCGCCGCCGAGGCGCUGGCCUCCAACCUGUAUCUCCCAGACCUGCAUGCCCGGAGCGCCGCCAACUUUCGGGAAAUGGGAGAGGAGCUCGUGCACGUGCCGGGGAUCCCCGCGCUUCCGGCAACGCACUUCCCCAAGCCGCUCAUGGACCAUGACGACGCGGCAUACAUAUGGUCCCUCAGAGUGUCCCCCAACCUCUGCCGCUCCAAGGGCAUCAUCGUUAACACCUUCCGCUCGCCCGAGCCACGCGCGGUGGACGCCAUCGCCGCCGGGCUCUGCACGCCUCCCGGCCUCCCGACUCCCCCCGUCUACUGCAUCAGGCCGCUCAUAAAGUCAGAGGAUGUGGGCGUGAAGCGCAGCCACAAGUGCCUGGCAUGGCUGGACACGCAGCCGACGGCCAGCGUGGUGUCCCUCUGCUUCGGCAGCCUCGGCGUGUUCAACGCAGAGCAGAUCAGGCAGGUGGCCAUCGGCCUGGAAGCCAGCGGCAAGAGAUGGAACUCCGUGCUCGAGGCGGUCAUCGCCGGCGUGGCCAUGCUGGCCUGGCCGUUGUACGCGGAGCAACGGAUGAACAGAGUGUUCCUAGAAGAGGAGCUGGGUCUGGCCGUUGCGGUGGAUGGAUAUGACAAGGAGGUGGUGGAAGCCGACGAAGUGACGGCAAAGGUGAGGUGGUUGAUGGACUCCGACGGCGGGAGGGUGCUCCGGGAGCGGACGACGGCGGCUAUGCGACGGGCCAAAGAGGCGUUGGGCGAGGAUGGGGAGUCUAAUUUGACGUUGUGUCGACUGGUGCAGGGCUGGAUGCUUGGAGACAUGGGAGAGGACGCGGGUUCCGCGGAGAAGAGAUAG